GCCGUAAACAAUUAAUUUACACCCACCAGCGCCAGGGAAUUACGAGCAAUGCUUAAAACCCAAAGGAUUUGACGGUGUCCCACCCCACUAGAGGAGCCUGUUCUAUAAUCGAUGAUCCCCGCUUCACCCGACCACUCCUUGCUAUCAGUCUGUAUACCUCCGUCGAAAGCUUACCAUGUGAACGCCCAAAGUAGGCUUAAUGACCUUACCGUCAACACGUCAGGUCAAGGUGCAGCUUAAGGGGUGGGAAGUAAUGGGCUACAAUUUCUAAUCUAGAACAAACGAAAGACUAUGUGAAAUACUAGUCAUGAAGGUGGAUUUAGUAGUAAAAAGAAAGUAGAGUGUUCUUUUUAACUCGGCUCUGGGACGCGUACACACCGCCCGUCACCCUCUUCGAUAGUAAUUUAUCCUGUUUCUAACCCACUACUACGUUUUAAAAGAAGCAAGUCGUAACAUGGUAAGUGUACUGGAAAGUGCACUUGGAAUAC
RNAcentral lists this ribosomal RNA (488 nucleotides) under Lithobates sylvaticus (wood frog). Its description in RNAcentral is "Rana sylvatica (wood frog) partial 12S ribosomal RNA". It matches the Rfam family "Bacterial small subunit ribosomal RNA", at positions 799 to 1526 of the family's 1533-position model. The record is from RNAcentral. Lineage: Eukaryota; Metazoa; Chordata; Amphibia; Anura; Ranidae.